Molecule: transfer RNA, 65 nt
Filed under: Scopura montana
Lineage: Eukaryota; Metazoa; Arthropoda; Insecta; Plecoptera; Scopuridae
Description: tRNA-Leu
Source: RNAcentral
UCUAAUAUGGCAGAUAAGUGCAAUGGAUUUAAGCCCCAUAUAUAAAGGCUAGCCUUUUGUUAGAA